This 433-nucleotide ribosomal RNA is filed under the name uncultured bacterium. Its description in RNAcentral is "partial 16S ribosomal RNA". It matches the Rfam family "Bacterial small subunit ribosomal RNA", at positions 29 to 507 of the family's 1533-position model. The record is from RNAcentral.
AACGAACGCUGGCGGCAUGCCUAACACAUGCAAGUCGAACGAGACCUUCGGGUCUAGUGGCGCACGGGUGCGUAACGCGUGGGAACCUGCCCUUAGGUUCGGAAUAACUCCCCGAAAGGGGUGCUAAUACCGGAUAAUGUCUUCGGACCAAAGAUUUAUCGCCUUUGGAUGGGCCCGCGUUGGAUUAGCUAGUUGGUAGGGUAAAAGCCUACCAAGGCGACGAUCCAUAGCUGGUCUGAGAGGAUGAUCAACCACACUGGGACUGAGACACAGCCCAGACUCCUACGGGAGGCAGCAGUGGAGAAUAUUGGACAAUGGGCGAAAGACUGAUCCAGCAAUGCCGCGUGAGUGAUGAAGGCCUUAGGGUUGUAAAGCUCUUUUACCCGGGAUGAUAAUGACAGUACCGGGAGAAUAAGCUACGGCUAACUACGUG